Molecule: ribosomal RNA, 371 nt
Filed under: uncultured bacterium
Lineage: Bacteria
Description: bacterial SSU rRNA
Rfam family: Bacterial small subunit ribosomal RNA
Source: RNAcentral
UCGAUCUGGCUAAGCGUGCGUAGCGGACUCUCUCGGUUGUUGUGAAUCCCACGGCUCAACUGGGGAAWUGCGUUCCAAAACUGAGAUAUCUUGAGGGUGGGAUGGGGAGACUGAAACAUCCGGUGGAGCGGUGAAUUGCUUUGAGAUCGGAAGGAACGCCCGCGGCGAAGGCGAGUCUCUGGACCCAUMCUGACGCUGAGACGCAAAAGCCAGGGAAGCAAACGGAAUUAAAUCCCCCGGUAYUCCUGGCUGUAAACAUUGGGCACUGGGUAGUGGAACCGCCGAUGGUUUCACUGCCGCAGGGAAACCGUGAAGUGCCCCGCCUGGGGAGUAUGGUCGCAAGGCUGAAACUCAAAGGAAUUGGCGGGGGA